GCCGCUCACGCGUCAAAGUCGCCCUCGGGCACCGGCAAAACUUUCUCAGCAGCGCGUCUCGCCACCGCCCUACGGGCCAGAGCGAGCGGCUUCGCACCUCCGGCAAAGCGCCGCAGCAUCUUCCGGCGUGCCGCUCGCAAGGGGAAGCGACCAGGAGGUGCCCUAAAUCCUGCCAGCGAGCCCCUGCGAACGGCUCACGGUGUGCCAGGCAGAGCCGAGCUGGAGCCCGGCGGGGAUUAGUGCCGCGCAUCGGACACUGCCAUGAAAACUCAGCACACGCGCCCUUGGGGCUGCCGGGAGGAGACGGGAGGUUUGCAUUAUCCGGGCUCUGUGAGCCAGAUAGAUGAGCGUGAAACUCUAAUUAUACUUUUGGCUGCCAAAACCAGCCCCACACUCUUAGGUGAGCUUCACGUCUUCUAGAAGGCUACAGGCAAGGCAAGUCCUGUCAAACCAGUGCAAGUUACAAAACAGUCAUAAGGAGCCUACUGCAGCUACCACGAGCCACGGAAACAAAGAAAAUGGGCAGCUUCAGAUGCACACAGGAUAAAGUCAGCAAGGCCAAGGCAAGUCUCAUUCCACAAAGGGCAGAAACACCUGUCCAAACUCAGCUGAAUGUGACAAUCCAAGCAAAACCCCAAAGGUAUAGUGAGGAUUCAGCAUGCAUCACCCCUGUCCUGUGGACCACACUCCAGGCUCCUGGACAGCCCCUUCAGCACAGUUGGUUUGCUGCUGGUCUUCUCCCAGUAGCCCUGAGAGUUGCAAACACCCUGCCUUCCCCACACACCAUGAGAAAUACAGGUUAUUUCCAGAGCUCAUGAACUGGCUGUUCUCUGGCUACAUGGCAUUCAUUGCAAGACCUGAACCUCCUUUGCCUCAGCCCUCCUCAGAAAGUCCUUCUGUCAAGAACCAGCAGAUCGACACAGAAAAAGUUUGGUUUCCUGAGGUGGCUUUACCUGAGGCUGAUUCCCAGCACACAACAGACUGUCACAUGUGGGAGGUGAAUGAAUGCUGAUAGAUCAUUUCUGUAGCUGCUCUUCUGCACUUUCCAAUAGAUAGGAACAAAGAGCUUAUCUCCUAGCAAUUCAGAUCAUAAACACAAAUCAGUGUAAUCAUACAUAUCCUUUUUAUGUUUUC
Molecule: long non-coding RNA, 1134 nt
Organism: Cyanistes caeruleus (blue tit)
Lineage: Eukaryota; Metazoa; Chordata; Aves; Passeriformes; Paridae
Source: RefSeq, a predicted model, not a curated record